GUCACUGGUGGCACCGGAGUUAUGGGUGACCCCGGGGUCUUGGGUGGUCCCAGGUGUCCCUGGGGUCACGGGUGUCCCUGGGGUCAUUGGUGUCCCUGAGGUCAUUGGUGUCCCUGGGGUCAUGGGUGUCCCUGGGGUCAUGGGUGGCACUGGGGUUAUGGGUGGUCCCAGGCGUCCCUGGGGUCAUUGGUGUCCCUGAGGUCAUUGGUGUCCCUGGGGUCAUGGGUGUCCCUGGGGUCAUUGGUGUCCCUGGGGUCAUUGGUGUCUCUGAGGUCACUGGUGUCCCUGGGGUCACGGGUGGCACUGGGGUUAUGGGUGGCCCCAGGUGUCCCUGGGGUCACUGGUUUCCCUGGGGUCACGGGUGGCACUGGGGUUAUGGGUGGCACUGGGGUUAUGGGUGGUCCCAGAUGACCCUGGG
Long non-coding RNA from Oenanthe melanoleuca, 418 nucleotides. RefSeq lists it as uncharacterized. The record is from RefSeq and is a predicted model, not a curated record. Lineage: Eukaryota; Metazoa; Chordata; Aves; Passeriformes; Muscicapidae. The transcript has 3 exons.